Molecule: transfer RNA, 74 nt
Filed under: Dermacentor silvarum
Lineage: Eukaryota; Metazoa; Arthropoda; Arachnida; Ixodida; Ixodidae
Description: transfer RNA isoleucine (anticodon AAU)
Rfam family: tRNA
About the family: Transfer RNA (tRNA) molecules are approximately 80 nucleotides in length. Their secondary structure includes four short double-helical elements and three loops (D, anti-codon, and T loops).
Source: RNAcentral
GGCCUGCUAGCUCAGUCGCUUAUAGCGUCGUGCUAAUAACGCGAAGGUCGUAGGUUCGAUCCCUGCGCAGGCCA